CACGGGGGGAGCAAGCGUUGUUCGGAAUCACUGGGCGUAAAGGGCGUGUAGGCGGUUUGGUAAGUGGGAUGUGAAAUGCCUCGGCUCACCCGAGGACCGGCAUCCCAAACUGCCAAGCUUGAGUAUGGGAGAGGAUGUGGGAAUUCCUGGUGUAGCGGUGAAAUGCGUAGAUAUCAGGAGGAACACCGGUGGCGAAGGCGCACAUCUGGCCCAAUACUGACACUGAGGCGCGAAAGCUAGGGGAGCAAACGGG
RNAcentral lists this ribosomal RNA (253 nucleotides) under uncultured bacterium. RNAcentral's name for it is "partial 16S ribosomal RNA". It matches the Rfam family "Bacterial small subunit ribosomal RNA", at positions 524 to 776 of the family's 1533-position model. The record is from RNAcentral.